This 253-nucleotide ribosomal RNA is filed under the name uncultured bacterium. Its description in RNAcentral is "partial 16S ribosomal RNA". It matches the Rfam family "Bacterial small subunit ribosomal RNA", at positions 524 to 776 of the family's 1533-position model. The record is from RNAcentral.
UACGUAGGUGGCGAGCGUUGUCCGGAUUUACUGGGCGUAAAAGGAGCGUAGGCGGACUUUUAAGUGAGAUGUGAAAUACUCGGGCUCAACUUGAGUGCUGCAUUUCAAACUGGAAGUCUAGAGUGCAGGAGAGGAGAAUGGAAUUCCUAGUGUAGCGGUGAAAUGCGUAGAGAUUAGGAAGAACACCAGUGGCGAAGGCGAUUCUCUGGACUGUGACUGACGCUGAGGCUCGAAAGCGUGGGGAGCAAACAGG